Picea glauca (white spruce) is the source of this 121-nucleotide non-coding RNA. The record is from Rfam. Lineage: Eukaryota; Viridiplantae; Streptophyta; Pinopsida; Pinales; Pinaceae.
ACAUGCUUACAACAUAGAGUUGAUGAAUUGUAUUCCAUUAUAACUAUGCAGUUAAUCCCGCUCAGGCUAGAGUAGUAUUGGGAUGGGUGACCGCCCUGGAAGUCCUAAUGUUUUACAUGCU